AAAUCUUUUAAUUUACAAGUGCGUACAUAUAUUGUGGUUCUUGAUUGAUGUAUUUUUCUAUGCAGGUGCUAGAACAUCUUAAUGUUUUUGCAAGAGAUGAUAUUGAUGCAGCCGCUGAAGCGUUAAACGGGAUGCCAUUAAAGCAGUUAUAUGCGGUGGUGGAUAAGGCUGCUGUCAGAGAAAAGGGAAGAAAUUUAGAAGCUAUUUAUUCAGGAAAAGAGAAGAUCAAUAUAAAUAACUUCUUUGAUACAUUGAGUGAUUAUGCAUCCUUUCUCUGAUAUUUUUUUCUUCACUUCCUCACUCAUUUUUGAGUGAUUAUGUAAGAGCUUAAAUUUGGUGGUGGAAAGGGCUGUUGCUGGAGAUUUCUGCAUAUUACUAUGCUUUGAAUAUUUUGAAAAAAAAACCUGCAUUACUAUGCGUUGAACAUUUUGAAAA
This is a long non-coding RNA of Dendrobium catenatum, 435 nucleotides long. RefSeq lists it as uncharacterized. Lineage: Eukaryota; Viridiplantae; Streptophyta; Magnoliopsida; Asparagales; Orchidaceae. The transcript has 2 exons. The record is from RefSeq and is a predicted model, not a curated record.